Molecule: ribosomal RNA, 303 nt
Filed under: uncultured bacterium
Lineage: Bacteria
Description: partial 16S ribosomal RNA
Rfam family: Bacterial small subunit ribosomal RNA
Source: RNAcentral
AGCAGUAGCCGCGGGAAAACGUAGGUGGCAAGCGUUGUCCGGAAUUAUUAGGCGUAAAGCGCGCGCAGGCGGAUCAGUUAGUCUGUCUUAAAAGUUCGGGGCUUAACCCCGUGAUGGGAUGGAAACUGCUGAUCUAGAGUAUCGGAGAGGAAAGUGGAAUUCCUAGUGUAGCGGUGAAAUGCGUAGAUAUUAGGAAGAACACCAGUGGCGAAGGCGACUUUCUGGACGAGACCUGACGCUGAGGCGCGAAAGCCAGGGGAGCGAACGGGAUUAGAUACCCCUGUAGUCCCUGUCUCUUAUACA